RNAcentral lists this ribosomal RNA (393 nucleotides) under uncultured bacterium. RNAcentral describes it as "bacterial SSU rRNA". It matches the Rfam family "Bacterial small subunit ribosomal RNA", at positions 505 to 898 of the family's 1533-position model. The record is from RNAcentral.
GUGCCAGCAGCCGCGGUAAUACGUAGGGUGCAAGCGUUAAUCGGAAUUACUGGGCGUAAAGCGUGCGCAGGUGGUUACGCAAGUCUGAUGUGAAAUCCCCGGGCUCAACCUGGGAACUGCAUUGGAGACUGCGUGGCUAGAGUGUGGCAGAGGGGGGUGGAAUUCCGCGUGUAGCAGUGAAAUGCGUAGAGAUGCGGAGGAACACCAAUGGCGAAGGCAGCCCCCUGGGUUAACACUGACACUCAUGCACGAAAGCGUGGGGAGCAAACAGGAUUAGAUACCCUGGUAGUCCACGCCCUAAACGAUGUCUACUAGUUGUUGGGGUAGCAAUACCUUAGUAACGCAGCUAACGCGUGAAGUAGACCGCCUGGGGAGUACGGUCGCAAGAUUAAA